This 93-nucleotide transfer RNA is filed under the name compost metagenome. RNAcentral describes it as "tRNA-Ser". The record is from RNAcentral.
CAGCUGUCGAGCUGCAGGAAGAAAUGCCGCUUCAGGCGCGGUUUCUUCGGAGGCGAUUUCUGGUCCUGCUGGUUCUGGUCCUGCACGUCUGGC